GGCUUAAUAGGAUAAAUAUAAUUCUGAUGGCCUUCAAAGCCAUAGGUAGAGUAAGUUCUCUUUAGCUU
This 68-nucleotide transfer RNA is filed under the name Cerion incanum. RNAcentral's name for it is "tRNA-Trp". Lineage: Eukaryota; Metazoa; Mollusca; Gastropoda; Stylommatophora; Cerionidae. The record is from RNAcentral.